AGGACGAACGCUGGCGGCGUGCUUAACACAUGCAAGUCGAGCGGUAAGGCCUUUCGGGGUACACGAGCGGCGAACGGGUGAGUAACACGUGGGUGAUCUGCCCUGCACUUCGGGAUAAGCCUGGGAAACUGGUCUAAUACCGGAUAUGACCUCCUAUCGCAGUGGGUGGGG
RNAcentral lists this ribosomal RNA (171 nucleotides) under uncultured soil bacterium. RNAcentral's name for it is "partial 16S ribosomal RNA". It matches the Rfam family "Bacterial small subunit ribosomal RNA", at positions 26 to 198 of the family's 1533-position model. The record is from RNAcentral.